UACGUAGGGUGCAAGCGUUGUCCGGAAUUAUUGGGCGUAAAGAGCUCGUAGGCGGUUUGUUGCGUCGGCUGUGAAAUCCCGAGGCUCAACCUCGGGUCUGCAGUCGAUACGAGCAAACUAGAGUGUUGCAGGGAGACUGGAAUUCCUGGUGUAGCGGUGAAAUGCGCAGAUAUCAGGAGGAACACCGGUGGCGAAGGCGGGUCUCUGGG
This 209-nucleotide ribosomal RNA is filed under the name uncultured bacterium. RNAcentral's name for it is "partial 16S ribosomal RNA". It matches the Rfam family "Bacterial small subunit ribosomal RNA", at positions 524 to 733 of the family's 1533-position model. The record is from RNAcentral.